Long non-coding RNA from Papaver somniferum (opium poppy), 1956 nucleotides. RefSeq lists it as uncharacterized. The record is from RefSeq and is a predicted model, not a curated record. NCBI's taxonomy places the organism in Eukaryota, Viridiplantae, Streptophyta, Magnoliopsida, Ranunculales, Papaveraceae. The transcript has 6 exons.
AUAGAUAAAUCUAUUGGAGUAGACUGUACUCUGGAAAUCGAAACGAAUCGAGCAGACACUAAUAAAUUGUGGUUGUUUAUCCUUUUCUCACCGAGACAAGUCGUAUCAAAUGAGGAAGAACCUCACUGAAACCUUAAAAAUUCUAGGGCAGAUUGUCAACUCUCCGUUAUCAACCCUAGCACGUGUCUCUUUAGCUUUUGGGUAGAUGGAUGAGUAAGCGUCUUUGCAUUCAUGAAACAUGGAAUACGCAGGUUCCAUGUGAAUGUUCACCACGACUUAGAGAUUUGAUUUGGUUAUCGAUCAGGAUUACAAAGCUCAAAUUAGUUUUCGGAUCGGUGCUGCAAAACAGAAAUUCACGAACCCCAAUCGGUUAGUAAGCUGUCUCAUGUUGUUAGGAUAUCAAUCGGCUCUCUGAUUCCCCCAGAAAUCGAAAUUGGGUUCGUUAUUUGUAUUUAAAUUUGAUUUUUAUUCAUUAUUUGUAUGAAUUUUAAUUUAGAUUGAAAAGGGUUCGUUAAACCAAUGUUUAUGUUUCAUCUUAUGCCAUUGUACUCCUGAUCUUGACCUAAUUGAUAGGGGCCUAUGUGCAUAUUAGUCUGAUUGGGUCCUCCCACAUCAAUCUUCCAUCACGAUUUAUUGCCGCUUUGAUGAUUUAUUUGUGUUUUUUCGUCUGCAGUUCCAAUCUUCUUACCGUAACAAAAGGAACUGCAUGGUUGUUUUAGCCUUUCAUCUUCCUUUUUGUAGUAAAUUUAUUUGUUUUCAUUGUCAGCAGUGUUUUAUAUGAUUAAUAACAACCGUUUCGUUUUGCAUCAAUUAAUUGUCUUAGCAUUGAAAGAAUGAGGAGGUGCAUCCUAUACAAAGGUCACCUGAUUUUUCAAAGGCACAUCACACUCAAGCUCAUCUUCCCUCUAUUGAACUUCUCAUCUCACAGUUAUUCCAAGUCGUCAGAAUGGAUUCUACAACAAUUAAUAAGGAGAUUAUCAUCUGAAUAAUGUAGUCUAACAAGCCCAUUGAAUAAGGAGUAGAAGAUAAAUGGGUUAACUGACCUGCGAUUAAACAAAUAAAAACAAGGAUGAAGAAAAGGCUAGAAGAAGGAAUUGGGUGAAACGGUUUCCUUAAAUCAGUACCUUUUGUGCGUCAAAAACUAAAGCUCCCUGAAAUUCAGUGAAAUUUCAUUGAAUUCUUCUGAUCUAAAGGAUAUUACAGAGGAAUGUUUAUGCAUUAGACUUCAGCUGCGAAAAAUACGACACCAGCCAUCAGGUUUUCGGAGUAGCAGAAGAGUGCAUUGGCCUCUCAAGAUCAAGUUGUAAAAUGUUCAAACUGGCGUUCCUAACAGUUUUUGGGUUUUCAUAUAAGCAGCAGGAUCCAAUGCUGUUAAUUCGGGAGAAAGAACAGAUACAAAAGCAUCAAAUAAGUGAUAAAGGAAAGUAGCAGCGACCAAAUUUGUACUUUCAGAAUAUCAAUUCUCCUGUCUUCAGUGUUUAAAAAAGCGUUUCAUAGCGCGAAUCAGAGCGCGCUUUUUUGCGCUUUGAAUAAGAAACGCACCGAAACGUGCGCUCUAGAAAGUAGAAACAGGUGGGAUACUUUUUUUCUUCUAAAAGGCUAUUCAGAUAUUGUCUUUAUACAUGAGCUAUGGAAGCUAGAUGUCAAAAGAGAGUAUGACAGCUACUGAUCACAUAAAAAUGUGUAUAGCUUGUAAGAAGCCAGCUGUCCAAGGUGUAGCAACCUGUUACAAUUAAUAAUAAGCCAGUGUCUAGUUAUGGAAAAGAAAAAUGAAAAAACAAGAAACAGUUGUCAUCAAAUUGAAGACAUUUCUUACUCUCUUUAAGACUACUUUCCCUCUUCUUGUGCGUACUUCUUAGUUUUCAUGUAGAACAGAAGUAUACAUACAUAUGUAUUAUGUAUUAUGAGGCAGCGCUUCGGUAACGCUUUUCAAUAGCGCUGCUCUCUUUUUACUAA